UGCCUUGGGCUACACACACGCUACAAUGGGUGGUACAGUUGGCAGCAAUAGAGUGAUCUGGAGCGAAUCCACGAAAGCCAUCCUCAGUUCGGAUUGCAGGCUGAAACCCGCCUGCAUGAAGUCGGAGUUGCUAGUAAUCGCAGGUCAGCAUACUGCGGUGAAUACGUUCUCGGGCCUU
This 178-nucleotide ribosomal RNA is filed under the name uncultured Chloroflexota bacterium. RNAcentral's name for it is "uncultured Chloroflexi bacterium partial 16S ribosomal RNA". It matches the Rfam family "Bacterial small subunit ribosomal RNA", at positions 1205 to 1382 of the family's 1533-position model. The record is from RNAcentral. Lineage: Bacteria; Bacillati; Chloroflexota.